CCUACGGGCGGCAGCAGUGAGGAAUAUUGGUCAAUGGACGGGAGGCUGAACCAGCCAAGCCGCGUGAGGGAGGAAGGCCCUGAGGGUCGUAAACCUCUUUUGUCGGGGAACAAAAGGUGGGACGCGUCCCCUUAUGCGUGUACCUGAUGAACAAGCAUCGGCUAACUCCGUGCCAGCAGCCGCGGUAAUACGGAGGAUGCGAGCGUUAUCCGGAUUUAUUGGGUUUAAAGGGAGCGCAGAGGGGCCGUUAAGUCAGGUGUUAAAGUCCGGGGCUCAAACCGCGCACUGCCGUUGAUAAUGGCAGUCUUGAGUGGGGGAGAGGUAUGCGGAAUGCGCGGUGUAGCGGUGAAAUGCAUAGAGAUCGCGCAGAACCCCGAUUGCGAAGGCAGCGUGCUGGGC
RNAcentral lists this ribosomal RNA (399 nucleotides) under uncultured bacterium. RNAcentral describes it as "partial 16S ribosomal RNA". It matches the Rfam family "Bacterial small subunit ribosomal RNA", at positions 338 to 734 of the family's 1533-position model. The record is from RNAcentral.